CACAGACAACCAGGAUGUUGGCUUAGAAGCAGCCACUCAUUCAAAGAGUGCGUAAUAGCUCACUGGUCGAGUGAUCCUGCGCCGAAGAUUUCCGGGGCUAAAACUUACUACCGAAGCUACGGCAUCAGUAAUGAUGGGUAGGGGAGCUUCACAUACGGGUUGAAGCAUGACCGUAAGGACAUGUGGACAGUAUGGGAGUGAGAAUGUUGGCAUGAGUAGCGAGAUGUGGGUGGGAAUCCCACAGGCCGUAAACCCAAGGUUUCCAGGGGAAGGUUCGUCCGCCCUGGGUUAGUCGGGACCUAAGCUGAGGCCGAAAGGCGUAGGUGAUGGACAACAGGUUGAUAUUCCUGUACUACCGAUAACCGUUUGAGAGAAGGGAUGACACAGUAGGAUAAGCUAAGCACACUGUUGGUUAUGUGUGCCCAAGCAUUGAGGCAGUCAAAGCAGGCAAAUCCGCUUUGAUAAUGCUGGGAUGUGAUGGGGAGCGAAAUUUAGUAGCGAAGUAGCUGAUUUCACACUGUCAAGAAAAGUCUCUAUCGAGGUUAAAGGUACCCGUACCGCAAACCGACACAGGUGGGUGAGGAGAGUAUCCUAAGGCCAGCGAGAGAACUGUUGUUAAGGAACUCGGCAAAAUGACCCCGUAACUUAGGGAUAAGGGGUGCCACCAUCCGGUGGCCGCAGAGAAUAGGCUCAAGCGACUGUUUACCAAAAACAUAGGUUUCUGCUAAGUCGCAAGACGAUGUAUAGGAGCUGACGCCUGCCCGGUGCUGGAAGGUUAAGGGGAUCUGUUAGAGCAAUCGAAGCAGUGAACUUAAGCCCCAGUAAACGGCGGCCGUAACUAUAACGGUCCUAAGGUAGCGAAAUUCCUUGUCGGGUAAGUUCCGACCCGCACGAAAGGCGUAACGAUUUGGGCACUGUCUCA
RNAcentral lists this ribosomal RNA (922 nucleotides) under Clostridioides difficile. Its description in RNAcentral is "bacterial LSU rRNA". It matches the Rfam family "Bacterial large subunit ribosomal RNA", at positions 1084 to 2023 of the family's 2925-position model. Lineage: Bacteria; Bacillati; Bacillota; Clostridia; Peptostreptococcales; Peptostreptococcaceae. The record is from RNAcentral.